CAGUAGCCACGGGAAUACGGAGGGUGUAAGCGUUAUCCGGAUUUAUUGGGUUUAAAGGGUCCGUAGGCGGAUCUGUAAGUCAGUGGUGAAAUCUCACAGCUUAACUGUGAAACUGCCAUUGAUACUGCAGGUCUUGAGUAAAUUUGAAGUGGCUGGAAUAAGUAGUGUAGCGGUGAAAUGCAUAGAUAUUACUUAGAACACCAAUUGCGAAGGCAGGUCACUAAGAUUUAACUGACGCUGAUGGACGAAAGCGUGGGGAGCGAACAGGAUUAGAUACCCCGGUAGUCCCUGUCUCUUAUAC
Molecule: ribosomal RNA, 301 nt
Filed under: uncultured bacterium
Lineage: Bacteria
Description: partial 16S ribosomal RNA
Rfam family: Bacterial small subunit ribosomal RNA
Source: RNAcentral